This 235-nucleotide ribosomal RNA is filed under the name uncultured bacterium. Its description in RNAcentral is "partial 16S ribosomal RNA". It matches the Rfam family "Bacterial small subunit ribosomal RNA", at positions 923 to 1163 of the family's 1533-position model. The record is from RNAcentral.
GCACAAGCAGUGGAGUAUGUGGUUUAAUUCGAAGCAACGCGAAGAACCUUACCAGGUCUUGACAUCGUAUGCAUAGCUCAGAGAUGAGUGAAAUCUCUUCGGAGACAUAUAGACAGGUGGUGCAUGGUUGUCGUCAGCUCGUGUCGUGAGAUGUUGGGUUAAGUCCCGCAACGAGCGCAACCCUUACUGUUAGUUGCUACGCAAGAGCACUCUAAUAGGACUGCCGUUGACAAAA